Molecule: long non-coding RNA, 1503 nt
Organism: Panicum virgatum (switchgrass)
Lineage: Eukaryota; Viridiplantae; Streptophyta; Magnoliopsida; Poales; Poaceae
Exons: 3
Source: RefSeq, a predicted model, not a curated record
CUCCCGACCCGCACCCACGCGCCUCCCACCCCCGCGCCUAUCGGCGGUUCCUCCCUGCCGACCCCACCGCCAUCCCCGUGCUCCCCCCGCUCCGUGCACCCCCUCACGCUGGCCUCGCCUCGAAGUUCACGGCGACACCCCCAGCCGGCACCUGCACGACGAUCCGCUCCGAUCCGAGGCCCUCGCCGUCGGCCCGUCGCCGACCUCCCGCUACCGUGCCGAAUCCCCGACUCACAUGUCAGGUGGGGUGGCCGUCUCCGCCAGCGCGGCCGUCUCCGCCCACGCGCUCCAGGUGGCUCCAUCAAGUCGCCUCCGCCCCAGUGCUCCAGGCGACGCCCACUGGCGUUGUUGAGGUGAUGACGGAUCAGUCGUCUCGAUCCGGCUGCCGGCGCCGUCGAGGAGUUCCAGCCGCGCUCGUCGAUCCCCCCGCCGCCUCUGCUAACCUCGUGGCUCCUCUCAUGGUAGCCCCCAGCCUGCUGUGCACUCUAACCCGCCCCAGACUUGCUUCCCCUUUCAAGUACGAGCAUCCCUGGAGUAAACGUCCAGCUACAAUCCACUGAAGCAUGACGCCAAUCUUACCAACAAUGGCAUCCUUCAGGCCUGCAAUGCUAUCCGCCCAUCAAGUGUUUGGUAGAAUGCUUAGGAGAGAUAGGAUACUAUUCUCCCCUAAUAUUUCUUGGAAUAUCAAUAAUUGUAUAAAAUGUAUCACAUACUUUCAAAUUGAUCUUCCAUUCCUAUUGUGGAAAUCCAGAGAUAAGACUAAAAGGUCAUAAACAGGCAGGGAAAGAGGCUGAUUCUAGAGAGAUGUCAACGGUGUUUCUAAGUCCGAGAUCUAACACAAGUGCUGCAGACUGAGAGGAUGCACACAGGCCUCCAGGAGGUGCAGCUACGGCACACCCGUGGGGUUGGAGGCCAACUCAAAUGACAUAUGGAGUGUAGUUUAGCUGUUCAAGAAAAUGUCCAAGUAGCAGUCCGUAUAAUUGUUGAUUUGAUAUUAUCUUAUUGAUUGAAAGUUUCAACUUGAAUUGAUAUCGACUACUAAUUUUUACAUAGAUGAUUGUUCCGACAAGCUUGCAGUUCAUACUAAUGACAAACAAUCCAAUGCUUUCAUUGCUUGCAGAGGAUGUCAAGCACUUGCAUUUGCAUUCAGGGAAGAAAAACCCUUGGUGAUUAUUGGAGAAACAAUGGACCAAAGCGUGAAUGGAUGCAUCGUCAGCAGCAAAUAUAGGUUGUGGCAUGUAGAAACUGGUAUGAGAAGCCACGUACCAGGUCUGGAAUCUUUUUCUCUACAUGAUUGUUUCAUGUUGUUGAUAGACAAUUAGGGCCCUAUUAGAUGGCGAUCCUUUGAACUUUGUUGUAUUAGGUAAUCUUCUACAUAUACAUCCAUGGGUCAUAUUGGGUGGUGAUUCUAUGGACUCUGUCUAGAAGGUGCUUUUACAAUUCCUGUGUGUUGUGUAUGCUUAACAUUUGCACAUGAAUUCAAUCAUGGUUCAAAUUUAUGCA